RNAcentral lists this long non-coding RNA (2294 nucleotides) under Daphnia pulex (common water flea). Its description in RNAcentral is "uncharacterized LOC124196144, transcript variant X3". The record is from RNAcentral. Lineage: Eukaryota; Metazoa; Arthropoda; Branchiopoda; Diplostraca; Daphniidae.
GACGAAUGUCAACACGGCCUUGGAUUAAAUCAUUGUAAACAAUCAAAACAAUGAUGGGCUGAAUAAUUUCUGAAAAGAAUUUUCACGUAAAAUUCUGUUCAUUUACAAUCAAGAAAAUUCAAGUCUUGUAGAGAAAUGUAGAGAAUUGGUUAUUCACUUAUUUGUUAGACAAUGUUUGGUGCUGGCUGCUGGGAUGUGAAUCUUUUCAACUAUUGUGAAGAAGAAGAAAAUGUUGAUUAAGAAUCAAGAAAUCUCUUCUUAAUUAAAAUUUAGCCAGAUUUGAAUGGAUUGAAAAGGAAGACGAGGUGUUAAGAUGGCACUCCACUGACAUGGCUGUCCAUCAGACCAAAUUGGUUGUCGCCAGUUGUCACAGUUAAUGUAAAUGGAAACAGUCAUUCAGAUAGAAUUGGAAAACAAAGAAUCAGCCUGGAUCACUAUUGCCCAGACCGAGGAAUGGAACUAGUUCCAGCCCUGGAUGUGGAAGGAGAUUAUAAAGAACCACACAUGCUACGACAACUGAUUGUCACCUCCUAAGUGUGCUUUCCACCCACUAAGCUUUUUCAUGCUGGUCGUGGCUUGCUAACUCUUCUUUCCGAAGCUUUACUGAAUGUGUAGUUCAUGCGAUAUAACAUGGCUUUUGUGUGCAAAUAGCUUGAGGAGAAGCAAGUUCAACCAAACCUCAAAUUUGGUCACAUUUUUGUUGCGUAUGGGUUCCAGGCAGAUUAAAAUUUCCACAACAAAUUCAAGUCGGCUUGGGAAAGCCGGUUGCCUUGUCUUUCUGCGCCGGAAAGUCUGCUUCAUGGGAUAGGUUAACCCAGAUGCAGCUUCAGCCAAUAUUCUUCAUGUAGUGCAUGCUGCCGUAGAAAAGAGGAGUAUUGGGAUCGUUUGUAGCAACCUGGACUGAUUUGGUUGACACAGGAUCGUUACAUUUCGCUUGGCCAGGAUGGAUUUUACAGGCUUGUUUGGCUUGGAAUCAUUCCUUUCAUUAAAAUAUCUGAUGAUAUUCUCCACUCCAAGAAUCAUAUGUUCAACUGAUUAAAUUCCAGGACUACAUUUAAAAUUCGUUUGCCGAACUUUCUUCGCUGUGGGUUUUGAAUGAACCACUUGACAAACGUUUUUCAGUCGGAGCAAUUCUGCCACCAUCCCGACUUCUUUAUCCCAAAAGGAAGGAUCUGUUCACUACCGCUUGCUUUUAGAUCACGACAGUGUUUAUGUAGAUAACCUCAAUAUGAAAUGCGUUGCGCGAACUAUUCGCCAUACAAAAACAAAUGGCACAAACUGCUAACUGAAGAAACCGUUAUUACAGAAUGAGAAGGUAAUCAUUAUUUCAUGAAGACAAUUGCUCUUCAAGCCCUUUUCUGCCGAUUUCCUUCUCUUGGCUUGUCGUAUUUUGAGGGGAAUUCUUUCCAUUGGGAGCAACCAAAAUAACAAUAUUGGUUUGGCUGCCAUCAAUUUGGGUUUCACACUGUCGCUAACCUUACGCCAACUUCAGAUGCAGCUAACAAUCUAACAGCCCAACAGUGAGCGUUUUCAACAGUUGUGGCCUUGUGGGUAGGUACAGCAACAUCAAAACCACCGAAAAGCACUCGAAUGGAUUGAAUAAUAUAACUGCAGCACUGAACACGUCGAUUCUCUGGCUAACGUCGAUACAUCAGAUUAGUAGCAUAUUGAUGUAGAUUUUAUGAAAUCAUUGCAUCUGCAAUCAACUAGUAGCGCUUUCCACAAUGGAACUGAUUUCGAAGGGACACAGUAUUAUUCUUUAGUUUUAAAUCAUUUUUUUAUUUUAUAAAUGCAAAUGUGUGUUUGCAGUUUACGCCAUUUUUAUUACAAGCUAAAAAUAAAAUUAUAUUCUGGGGGUGGUUGAAUAAACUUCGCAUUUAUCGAAUUUCACGCUAACCAUUACGAAAUCGUACUAACAAAAAUGUUGUUUUCUUUAAAUUGCCAACUAGUUGACUGUUUUUUUUUUUAAGAAGCAAACUGUACGUAUAGUACGUCCAAUAUUAUCAGGCUUAAUUUGAUAAUUGGUUUAAAUUUUUAUAAUGACAUUUGCGCAACGAAUUGGGAUUUUCUCUUACUGCGGUACGGUGGGGUUUCCCGAGAAAACGGGAACCCAUUUUAUAAAUAUUAUUUAUUAUUAUUUUAUUAUUAAAUAUUAUAAAACCAUAUAAUAGUUUAUGCUGAUUUUACCUCUGUAUAUUUUUCGUUCUCAGAGACUGUAAACGAACCGUUGGUUUUUUCCCGAAUGUUUGUAGAUUUUGUUUGUUUUUAUGCAGUACACGAAUAUGGUAUGGCGA